ACUCAUAUUUGGAUGAAAUAAAAAACAUAAAUAAACAAAAUGAUUUCACGAACUAUGAUAAAUCGUCCGGCGUCCGGAAAACAUAUUGCCAAAACGCUGCGCUGCAUCUGAAAACCCUGGAAAGAAUCAGGCUGCAUUACAGACAUCCUUUCAAGAAUCAUGCAAAAGCCGGUGGAAACGGAAGUGACUUUGGGAAAGUUUUUCAAACCGCUUUGGAUAGGAGGUUUGUUGUAAUGUCUUCUAUGAUCUCAUGAGGUAUGGAACUUAUGACCUGGAAAGAUACAACGCUCUUACGAUUGUUUCUCCAGCAACCCAGGGUUCUAUAACUGGCCAAGUGUUUGUCGCAGUUAACCAACGCUCGAACUAAGUGCCGUGUUCCAACCAGGAUAUUAUGUUUCAUUUUUUUCGUUCACUGGUAAUUAGAUUUGUACGGUUUGAAUUAUUUAACCACCGAGCAAGACUAUUGCAACUGUUUCAACGAAUAGGACUCUGGAUCUUGGAAGCAGGUCGUCAUUAAGCACUAAUUCGUGAAGGAAGCUAAACCGGCGUUCAUUUAGGUGCAGUAUUCUCGGAACAAUUUAUCGACGGAUUCCAAUAAACGAAGGACAAAUGUAAGCGGAAGGAGUCGAUAGCUGACAUCUUUUGUUACUGACGUAACGCAGGUUAUACUGUGUUUGAUGCAAAGGAUGAAGAACCACUAUUUCUUCAACAAUUUCAAGGCCUUGCGGAAUAAUUAGAAGGAGAAAAGAACGGAACCAUCUGUUCGGCGUUCGAGGAACCAUAAGAUUAAAUUUCGAUUGAUCUAGUCAGCUGGACUAUAGGAAUUAGAUUAGGAGCAAGCUUAUGGUUAUAACCAUCCCAAGAAGGAGGAAAAGAAUCUGUAUGCGAUAUCAGCAGAGCACCAACUACCAAAGCAGGAAAAAAUCCAGAAAAUGGUUUGUGCGAGAACAAGGAUUCGGGAAAGAGCAAAGAUUUGUGAAAGGACGACGGAAACGGAAACAUGAGCGCAAUAGGCAAUCCGAGAACUGUUGAUAUUGGGAUUGAAUUCACCAUUCGAAUCUGACGCUGUUGCUGAUAACUAUUGUUUCGUCUCGACACUGCUACCAUGCUAUCAUGGCUAUUGGUUCCAGUUUCGAUUCUGGUUUUAUAUACCGCCAUUUUCCCAAUUACUGGUGCUUCUAUUGUUGGAUUUCUGCUGCAGCAAUUAUCAAGUAAACGGCAACAUAUAUGUAUUAGUUUAUAAAAUAUGUAUAAAUCAAUAAAAUUAUAUGCGAGAUACGAGUUUUUAUUGCACGAUUCCAAACAUUUUCUAUUCAAUAUAAAUAGGUAAUUGGCAAUAUCCAAAACAAAACAAAAUCACCCA
Armigeres subalbatus is the source of this 1363-nucleotide long non-coding RNA. RefSeq lists it as uncharacterized. Lineage: Eukaryota; Metazoa; Arthropoda; Insecta; Diptera; Culicidae. The transcript has 4 exons. The record is from RefSeq and is a predicted model, not a curated record.